RNAcentral lists this ribosomal RNA (408 nucleotides) under uncultured bacterium. Its description in RNAcentral is "partial 16S ribosomal RNA". It matches the Rfam family "Bacterial small subunit ribosomal RNA", at positions 28 to 526 of the family's 1533-position model. The record is from RNAcentral.
GACGAACGCUGGCGGCGUGCUUAACACAUGCAAGUCGAACGAAGUGGCGCACGGGUGAGUAACGCGUAAUCAACCUGCCCUUCAGAGGGUGACAACCGUUGGAAACGACUGCUAAUACCGCAUACUGUAGGUGGGUAUUGCGUCUGAUUAGCUCGUUGGCUGGGUAACGGCCCACCAAGGCGAUGAUCAGUAGCCGGUCUGAGAGGAAGAACGGCCAAAAUGGGAAUGGGACAAGGCCCAAGCUCCUACGGGAGGGAGCAGGGGGGAAUCUUCCGCAAUGGAGGAAAGUCUGACGGAGCAACGCCGCGGGAGGGAUGACGGGCUUCGGGUUGUAAAGCUCUGUUAAUCGGGACGCGGUACCGGAAUAGAAAGCCACGGCUAACUACGUGCCAGCAGCCGCGGUAAUUC